AAGAGACCACAUCCUCAAUUCGUUCAUCUCAUCUCCAUCUCACGGUGUGUACCCUCAAUCCCCGGAAUAGAACGAUCCCUAUUUGCUUAUACUACUAACGAUAUUUCAGGGUUAAAUUGCGCGCUUGCUUUUUAGCGCGUCAAGAAGUUAGGAGUGUAUUUAAAAUUUCUCAACUACAUAUUCAAUCUCAAUGACAAGAAAGUAAGAGCAUCUCCAACAACUUCCCUAUAAUUUCUCUAUUAUAGGGAAGCAAAAAUUAAACUUUUCAAAAAAAAUUAUGCUCAAACUCCAACAGAUUCUCUAUUUUACAGAUUUCAUAAGUCUUCCCUAAAAUUUUACAAAUUGCUAUAAAUAUAGGGAAUUUGGUUUUCUCUCUCAUCACUAUCUCUAUUUUAGGGAUAAUUAUAGGGAAUCUGUUUGAGCAAAAUAGCCAAAUUUUUUCCUAAAAUUGAAAAAAAUCAAGAUACGAGGAAGUUGUUCGAGUUGCUUUAAGAAACAAGUUGUCACUUGUCAAACACAAAGCGAUGGUCACACUCCAUAUCAGUAAAGGCCUUCAUGUUCGUGCCUUUCCAAGAGUUUGAGCAUGCAAGAAAAUUAUAUUAGAUGUCUUGUUUUAAACAUCUUUCACUUGCCAAUUGAUGUUAAUCAUUGAACCUGAAAGAGGCUAGCCUUUUCAGAUCCAUGUAAUUUUGUUGUUGCUUCUUUGAUGCAUUAGACUUGUGGUCAACAACUUGUAGUUGAGGCAUCAUUUUGGUAAGUUGUAUUACAAUAUAAAGAGGAUUGCAAUAGAAUCAUUAUCUCCUUAGUAAUUCUCAUUUUUCAUUUUUGAAGAUAAAUACGUAAUAUCCGGACAUCAUAUCCUCAUAUCCCAUACAAAAUUUGCAACUCUAAAAAUAAAUUAAAGGGUCUAAAGGCUACAAAUCUUUCAGGUCCUUCUUGCGGAAUUAGGUCUAUGUGCCCUGCGUAGAAGAGUACAAAGCUUGCAGCUAACUUAUUUAGAUUUAAAAGUUCUCAUCAUUAAUCAUGUGCUUGUCACACUAGUUUAGUCGUUCAGACAACAAGUAAUAGUUCCCUUUCAUAUCAUGGCCUAAAUAGCUUUAAAAAUUAAAAAUGUUUCACCAAGUCGUUGGGUGAAAGAAAGAAAAUUUACUAUAUACUAAAGCGCCUGCACUAUUCAUUUUACUGUUCAUCUUGAGGGUGAGAAAUGACAGUUUUGCCCUCUAUUUUCCCUCAACUUACUACGCUGCCAUCUUUGUACGAAUAUAUGUUUUUAGUUGUUCGGGCUUCCACCGACUUCAACCUUCGUCCCAUCGACUGUAAUACCCAAAUCGCCGAUCCCAAUCGUGCCACCAUCUUCUACAGCCGUAUAGGCGAGAUUGAGAGAGUUCGGUUCGUUGCUUUUGAUCUGUGGAUUUGGAAUUCCUUUCUUUGUUUCUGCUCAUUAUCUCCUCUAAUUUCAGAUUAACAUUGACUUCAAGUCGUUUCCAUUUGAACAGGGUAUGAAGUUAGAUAUGUACUGCCUUUCUUUUGUUUAACUUCAGUUCAGUUGGUUGACUAGCACAGUUGGUUGGUGAGAGAAACAUUGGAAAAGGUCAAUACUCUCAGGAUAAUUUCUCUUUGAAUACUAAAGACUCUUCCAGUGGUUACUGAAAGUCCAGCUGAUCAACUGUUUAAGUUAGGAUGAAAGAGGCGAAUGCGAAGAUGGUACAAGUAUAAUCGGAGUGUCGCGGCAUUUAACAAGCAAUAAUUCUACUCAACUUGCAGAAAUCGAUGAAAUGAGAGGAGAGAAGAGAUACAAGUAAUGCUGUGGCAGAGUGGCUAACACAGUUUCUAAGGUGUCUCUGAAAUUCAUUUACUUGACUCUUAGGGCAGCUGCUACAACAUUUCUAUUCGUUUACGUUAGCAUUCCCUGCUCCCUGCAACACUUGAUGUUGUCAUUGAAUGUUAUGAUAGGAUGUUAUUGUAAACUGCGAUAAUGUAAACCAAACAAUUUUAUAGAGAAGAAAAUUUGUCUCUUCUUUUAUCAUUGUGAUCAAGAAUCAAGUCUUUUCAUUCAUAUC
Molecule: long non-coding RNA, 2060 nt
Organism: Rosa chinensis
Lineage: Eukaryota; Viridiplantae; Streptophyta; Magnoliopsida; Rosales; Rosaceae
Exons: 8
Source: RefSeq, a predicted model, not a curated record